AAUAUAUAUAUAAAAAAGAAAGAGGAAAAGGAGAUUUAAGAAAAUGGCCUUUUUUCUUCCCAAAAUCUCGUCCUCUCCCCUCCUUCCUCACCCCUGCGCUUCCCAAAAUACCCCUCCGAGGCCCUUCCUCUCUUCUUCUCCUCUCACCAAUCUCGAGCCCCCGCCCCUCCGCGAUGCCACGCGCGAGAAGCCCCCGGCGCUGCACGGCAAGCCCCCCGCCGCGUUGCACGAAACCAGGAAGAAGAGCGAGAAGAACAGCGAUAAGGACGAGUUCUAUCUAAACCUUGGCCUCGCCGUCCGCACCCUCCGCGACGAUCUCCCUUCCCUCUUCUCCAAAGACCUCAACUACGACAUCUACCGGGAUGAUAUCACCUUCAUCGAUCCACUCAAUACCUUUCACGGGAUUGAGAACUAUAAAUUGAUCUUCUGGGCGCUCCGAUUGCAUGGCCGGAUAUUAUUUCGGGAGAUUGGGUUGAAGAUUUCUCGGGUUUGGCAGCUGUCGGAGAACAUGAUCUUGAUCCGGUGGGAGCUGCAGGGAGUCCCCCGGGUGCCGUGGGAGGCGAGGGGAAGAUUCCAGGGGACGUCGAGGUAUCGAUUGGAUCGGAAUGGGAAGAUAUAUGAGCAUAAAGUUGACAACUUGGCGUUCAAUUUCCCCCGGGUGGCGGUCAGGACGGUGACCGUGAUGGAUUUGGUGGCUGGCACAUGCCCACCGAGUCCCAAUUUGACGUUUUUGGGGGAGGAGGUGGAGGGUUCUGGUGUUUUGAGGCCAUGCUCGUGGAUGAAGCUUUAUCAGGCGGUGAGGGGGACUCUGGAGCAAGAGGAGCAAGGUUUGUUUGGGAUUGGUAUCGAGGGUUUUGUCACUUGUUCAUAGCUUGGGCAUUGGAAGAAAGCUAGUGGUGUAUAUAUGAAGUGAAGGAAAUGUUACGAGGCUGCUUCUAUUUUCAUUCUACACAAAGAAAAUAAAGGACAAAGUAGAUACCAAGACUUAAAGGCACGCUAACACCACAAGAUGAAGGUAUUCUAAGUGUCUGCACUUAACAAAAAGCAUGUAGAGCCACAGGAAGAAGGCCAAGUGCUUUAUUUAUAUGACUCAUGAAAUUUAGUUGAAAGAAGGCCAAAUUCCAAGAGCAACAUUUCUUAUAUGAUGAUAGGACAGCAAGACGAAAAAAGAAAAAAGCAAAGCAACCCUCAGUUAUGUGGUUACAGGACAUGGUCAAUGAUGAAAAAUCUUGAUAUCAGUUGUAGGACAGAAAGCAAUACUGUGAGAGGUAAACAGUGAGAUGAUCUGACAGGCCAAGCACAGUUAAUGAGGGCAGCAAGCACCUUAUAGUAAGCCAUGUUUAUCAGGUGUAGUGCUGGUAACCAUAUGCUUUUUUUUUCCUUUGGAUGAUAAAUAAGGCAGAUGGUACUUUCUUUGCUCUCAUUCAUCUCUGAUAAUAAAGGGCAAAGAAUUGGAGUCUGAAGGUGUGGCUUCUGACUCACAAGUUUAAUCAAUUACAAAGAAAGGGUGUGGUUUAGAAUGGUAACACUUGGACAAAGAAGUUAUUGGUAGAGUGGCACGAAGAAUGAACCGUAGCAAUGCAGCAGUGGCACAGUUUGAUUAAAUUACUCAUGAUGGAAGAGCAACAACACAGUAUGAUACAACAGUGAAUGAAUCUAUGCAGCAAUCAUGGGCUGGUACAACAGCAAGGAGAGUUAUCAACAGUGGUGAUGAAUGGUGAAGCUUACAAAAGCUGGUACGGCAGUGGUGAAGUAGAUGUGGAGCUGUUAUGCAUACUCUACUCUUGGCAUGGCCGCAAGCAGUUAUGAACCUGGCAUUAAAUGACAAGGCUCAUGAUCGGGACUUAGCAAACGGAUAUGAACGAGGCCUGGGGGCUGCCAUACUGUCAUCUUCGCUCAACAUGGUGGUGAGCAGGGCUGUUGACACCACAAUGAACCGCAAGGCUUAGGGCCAGGAAACAGUGAGUAGGCAACAAAUGAGGCACAAGGGUGUCAGUCUGUGGUUUUCCCUGCAUGGUGGCAAUGCAAGAAGUGAAAACCUUUUUUUGUCUCGUUUAUCAUCAUCCUUUUUGCAACAGCUAGCCUAUGAAUCUCUUGCAAUAUUUUUAUCAUUGAGAUUCCAUUAGGCCCCUAAUUUUGUUUGACUUUCACAAAGAUGAUGGAGAAAUACUGCUGAUAAUUUCUUGA
Molecule: RNA transcript, 2187 nt
Organism: Elaeis guineensis (African oil palm)
Lineage: Eukaryota; Viridiplantae; Streptophyta; Magnoliopsida; Arecales; Arecaceae
Source: RefSeq, a predicted model, not a curated record